Molecule: long non-coding RNA, 1039 nt
Filed under: Marmota monax (woodchuck)
Lineage: Eukaryota; Metazoa; Chordata; Mammalia; Rodentia; Sciuridae
Source: RNAcentral
AGAAUUCAGUAAUCCUCAUUCACUGAAGAAUUAUAAAAACAACUUUUACAUCACAGUGAGUGUGGGUUUUGUUUUUGUUUCUGAAAAACAGGUCUCACUAUGUUAUCUGGGUUGGCCUCGAACUCUUGGAUUCAAGGCAUCGCCCUGCCUCAGCCUCUCAAAUGCUAGGACUACAGGCACAUUCCACUAAGCCUGGCUAGGUAUGGGGUUUUUGAGGGAAGUUUUGUUUGCCAGUUAAUUUCCUCUCAUUUUGCAGGGAGACAGUUUUUCCUGAGACCAGGCUCUUUCUUAGCUGACUCUGUUCCACGAGGCACUAUCAGCCAACGUUUGUUUGGCGAGCUUUUGCUCUGCAUCUCUUUUUCUUUCCAAUCCUUCAGGUCUUUGUCCUAUAAAUUCGUAGAAAAGCUGUUGGCAAGUGGUCAGCAACAGGACCUCUAAAAAACAGUACCAUCACCUCUGCCCCACUCCUCCCAGCUCCACCCCCAGGCAGUUAAUGGAAGAAAGGAAUAACUGUGUCACUCUUGGCUUCUCCUUGCUCAUCUUGCUCUUAAAUUGGAGGCCUCUGGGGCUGCAAGAAACUGGACAAAGUGUGCUGAGUAGUCUAAUAGGACUGGUUCCUUUUUUGAAAGUCCUCUAUUGCGGAAAAAUAAAAUUAUGUGUUUAAUUUCUGAAACCUAAUGCCUGAUUUGCCUUGGCAGCCCUUUUCUUGGGCUUGGCUGAGAGUCCGGCAACAUUAGUAUACUGAUUAAUACCAGCUCAACUUGUUCCCUGGAGAAGAGCAUUAUUUACUGGAUUGUUUUCUUAAAUCCUUUUUAAUUUGCUGUGUUUUAGCAUACUCUGACUGGCUUUAACAUGUUGUUAUCUCUGACCACGGGCCAUAAUGAAGCUGGAGGAAAGACUCCCAUCUCUGUGUGCUCAUAUCCUCAUCACAAAGCAAGAUUUUGUUCAACCCAGUGAUUAGAAAUGACACAUCACAUGUUCUAAUCUUUCUGGGAUGUCCGAGUUCUAAGUGUACUUUCAUCCUCUGCUGGUCCUCAGG